AUUUGUUUGCAGUUCAUAAGCAUGAUGAUUGGGUUUCACACUGUUGUGAGAUGUGCUUUCCUCAAACCUCAUUACAACAUCAACCAUUACCCCAUCUGACG
Non-coding RNA from Ictidomys tridecemlineatus (thirteen-lined ground squirrel), 101 nucleotides. The record is from Rfam. Lineage: Eukaryota; Metazoa; Chordata; Mammalia; Rodentia; Sciuridae.